Molecule: ribosomal RNA, 221 nt
Filed under: uncultured bacterium
Lineage: Bacteria
Description: partial 16S ribosomal RNA
Rfam family: Bacterial small subunit ribosomal RNA
Source: RNAcentral
CGGCAGACGGGUGAGUAGCGCGUGGGAACAUACCUUUUGGUUCGGAACAACACAGGGAAACUUGUGCUAAUACCGGAUAAGCCCUUACGGGGAAAGAUUUAUCGCCGAAAGAUUGGCCCGCGUCUGAUUAGCUAGUUGGUGAGGUAACGGCUCACCAAGGCGACGAUCAGUAGCUGGUCUGAGAGGAUGAUCAGCCACAUUGGGACUGAGACACGGCCCAA